RNAcentral lists this long non-coding RNA (11813 nucleotides) under Vitis vinifera (wine grape). RNAcentral's name for it is "long non-coding RNA (VVIN_LNC005982)". The record is from RNAcentral. Lineage: Eukaryota; Viridiplantae; Streptophyta; Magnoliopsida; Vitales; Vitaceae.
GGGAAGAAACUGCGUCAAUAUCAGCCUGCAUGUGCUCACGCUGGCAACUCAUGAAAUAUAAGCAUUUUCUUUCCCGUAAAAGUAAAUAAUUUAAAAUUUUUUUUCUUGUGUCAAACAACAAGAACCCGGAGAAUGAAGUUGCCUUGAGCUGUACUGAAAAAGAUUGCCAAAAAGAUAGAAAUUUCAAACAUGUAGGCCCUGGCAGGCUUGGAAAAUGAGGCCUGUGUGUGUCUUUGUGACGUUAAUGGCGGUCGUGAGCUGAUAUAUAAAAAGACUUUUGUCUUUCUAUGCGUGUUAAGGACGUUUCUACCUGUGUUUUUCUAUACUUUAUAUUUCAUGCUCCUUUCUGGAUAAAAAAAUAUUCACCGUUUUCCUUUUACAUUAACGGAGUCUGCAAAGCGGACCAAAAGUUUCAAAUCCCCCACCAUAAAAAAUCGUGAAACAUAUCUUUGACAUUCAAUCUCUAUUCCUAUCCACCUUUGUCUUUUUUCACCCGGUGAAGAAUUUUUCGAUCUUUAAGUUGAUCUUCUCUCACAUUUAUGUGGUAUGAUGCAUAUUAUAUACACAUUUGUGGAAUUCUUCUGACCUAACUAAUUAAUAUAAAUUUGACCCAUUUAAUAUUUUGAAUUUAACAAGUGGGUCGAUCAGAGAACGGAAAAAGCUGAUUUUUGAGAGUCGUUCCUCACCAAAUCCAUCUGUGCUGUUCAAAUGUUGAACCAAUCAAUUAUGAUUUACAAAUCAUUACCUUGAGAAAUCACAAAUCAAAAAAGGUCGCCUCGAAUUGCAGCAAAGCUUGUCUGUCAUGCACUGACAUUGACCGCAAUGCAGGCAUGCAACCCCACCAUCCUUCAAUUCUUUUUCUUGUUAAGAUACUUAAUAGAUGGAACACUUGCAUUGUUCUGAUAGAUUCAAAAGUGGGCCUACGUGCCAAACUGCGGAAGGUUCAUCAAUUUAAUUUCCUUAUACCUAUGUUUUAAUUCGUAAACCAAUUGGUCAGUGAUAUAAAAAGAAAAAAAAAAUGUUUAGGAGCUUACCUCUUUUCCUUCAUUUUUCCAUUUUUCUUAGCCCUUUAAAGCUCUGGAAACCAGUUUUCUAGAGUUAUUUUCUUCCUCAGCUAUGAUAUGCACGGUAUUACAUAUUCAUUCCGUUUUUCCUGUAAUUUCACUUCUAAUGGAUUUAUAUUUCCUUUCUCCUAGCCAUCCUUUGAAAAGCUACAUGAGUAUACUAUGAAUUUGUAUUCCACAAUCCUGCCUCCAGCUGCCUCAGUCAAUUCAGCGGGGUCCUUUAAUGGCCAUGCCACCUCAAACACCUAAUUUGCCUGCUUUAAGUGAGCACAUGUUUGUUCAAUCUCAUUUUACUUUAGCUCUAUUUUUCAAUGUGGUGUGACUUGAUUGGAAUAGGAUUUAUGUGUUGGCGCCUUCCACCCGACAUGCUCACCUGUAGGAGCAUCCUAAGCCCAUUUCAUACGGACACUCAUCCUUUCCUAAGAGACAGCCCAUACCACUGGAUUCAUAAACAAGUCAAUAUUCAUCAGUAUAUCAAUGAUUUUCUUCCAUGGGAUUGCGCUAUAGGGCACAAAACAUUCAGCACUACACGAUUUUUCUUCCAAUUAAAUUCCGCCAUGGCAGCAUGAAGAAAAAAUAUGGGACUUACCAUCAUUUGUCUUGCUAUUCACUAACUUGGCUCAGCACUGUUCUCUUGACAUGGUUUUCUUUUCCUGGAAGCUAUACAGGUGAUGGGGUCUAGAAUACAACAUUGUUCUUGCAGCCGGAGCCGGGCGAUGCUAUGUUCCUCUAAUUAAUUCUGUUGGAGAUUAGGUAACCUACCGGAGAAACGAAAUUUCCUUUUGGUUUCCUGGUGAUUUUAAUAUCUGGCAGUGUCCUCUCUUUUCGCUUCUAGAAUUCUGCUAGGUUAGACCUUAAUUUGGAUGUUUCAAUCAUCAGAUGAAUUUGACUUUUGUUCUGAAUUCAACACUAUAUUUUUCUCUCAUUCUUAACCAUACGAUGCGGUGGCUCUGUGUGUUGGGGUGGUUGGGGGUAUGAAAAUGGCCAUUAAGAUAGUAUAUCUCAAGUCCUUACCAUAGCAAAGAAUAUUCUCCCAAUCAGCACAGGAGACAUGUACAAGUAUAGCUCAUUCCAACUGAAUUGGUUUGGUUGAGUGAUAAGAACCAAACAAAAAUGUAACCUUGUCAAACAUGGGAAGGACCCAGCAUCAUCUAAUCCUUACAAAGAUAACAGCUAAAAUGAUGGCAUAAUAAUAUGAAAUGUGAAGAUACAGUGUAUCUCGCAUGUAUGUGUGGGACGGUCUACAUAUCAUGUGUUGAUCUAUGUCAACCCAAUAAUCCUGCUAUCUCCCGAUAGAUGGUUGGGAUAUUUCACUUAAAAGUUCCAAUGAAAUGAAAAGUCCUGGUAUAUCUCCAUAAAAAAUAGAUUCCGGACUAAAAAGAAGAAGAAAAAACUGGCAUAUUUAAUUUCUCGAAUAUUCUAUUCAAGGGCACAUCUUUUUGCCAUACCCAUUUUAAAACAAUAUGGCUCUUUCGGAAAUAAUGUUUAUCUUCUUCCGCCUAUUAUAAUCUCUCUCAUACAACCCUUACUUUCAAGAAAAGAGGAGUGAAAUCUCUCUCCCUCAUACCUCAAGCUCACAACACAGAAGAAAUGGGGAGGGCACCUUGCUGUGACAAAGCCAACGUCAAGAAAGGCCCAUGGUCGCCUGAAGAAGAUGCCAAGCUCAAGUCAUAUAUUGAGCAGCAUGGCACUGGUGGUAAUUGGAUCGCUUUGCCACAAAAAAUUGGUAAUCCCGAAUCAACUUUCUCUCUUUCCCUUUUCUAUCUUCAUUUAUUAAGAUCAACUCAGUUGAACUUCCAAUUUCUCACAUGGUAAAUGAGAAUUGUUUGUAUACAGGCCUCAAGAGAUGUGGGAAGAGCUGCCGCCUUAGAUGGUUAAACUAUCUCCGCCCAAAUAUCAGGCACGGAGGAUUCUCUGAAGAAGAAGAUAACAUCAUCUGUAGCCUGUAUAUAAGUAUUGGAAGCAGGUGUGCCCUCAAAAAUUUAAUGAUGCUCAUAACUGUAGAUCUGUAUAUAAUUAACCAUCUCUUAGACCUCUUUUGAGUGGUACAAUGGGUUGAUUUUACAGGAGUGGCUCAUGUUGUAAUGAAACACUUGGUUUUCAUGAACAGGUGGUCUGUUAUUGCAGCACAAUUACCAGGACGAACUGACAAUGAUAUAAAGAACUACUGGAAUACGAGACUGAAGAAGAAGCUCCUUGGUAAGCAGCGCAAAGAACAACAGGCUCGCAGAGGUAGCUGCCCGAAGCAAGAGAUGAAAAGAGCAAGUGGGAACGCCAUGGUUUCUGAUAAUGAAAACUUAAACCCUUACUGGCCUGAGUUGCCCGUGCCAGCACCAAUACCGUACCCAAACGAAGAACCACGCUUCAACGAUCAUUCAUCCAUCAGAAGAUUGUUGAUCAGGCUUGGGGGAAGAUUUUCUGAUGACGGACAACCACUCCAAAACGGGACAAAUCUUCAGCUCCCGAUUGAUAUUUCAUCCGUUCAACAACCUUUUGACCACUCAGUAAACUUUCUGUCUUCUUCUCCUAUGAAUGCCCUAAACAACCCUCGUUCUGAAUUUCCAAACGCUGAGUACAAUAUGGAAGGGGGAGGGCUACACAUGCUACAAGGACAGAACAGUUUUUUAGCUGAGCUGGAGGAGAUGGCUUGUAGCAACCCACAAAGAUUAGAUGGGCUGGAGUUCUUAUAUGCGCAGGACAUGGCCAAUAACAAACCCGGAUCAACUGCUUAUGAGCAAAGUCUCAGUUGGGGUGAGACGAGCUCUCUGGUUUAUCCUCCUGUUGCUUCCAACUAUGAAGGUCUUCAACAGCAAGGGGUGACGCAAGAACAUGACUUUGAUGAGUUGAGGUACCCUACCCCGCGAUAACCACACUGAACAUGGAUGGUGUAAAUUUGAACCGGUUGUGAAGUUGGUGCUGGAUUCCCAGACCGAAAAUUCUAAUAAACUCAUCCGGUGAUUUGUUUGUUUUGCACUUCUGUUUUCUCAUAUUUGCUUGCUCUAAGAACUGACUUUAGUAUCUCUAAGUUGCUUCUUCAAUGAACACUUUUACUGUACUUUAUUGGCCUGAAUCUCUCUAUUGUUGAAUUAGGGGCAUUUAGUGCUUGAAAGCCUAUAUAUAUAACCCUAACUAAUGCAAACUUGGCUCAAUUACUCUAGCUUCUUGAGUGGAGACAUGCUUGGAUCUGUUGUUCCCACGUACUGAGUGAUCUGGUGAAGAAAGAUGAGUGUUCCUUUGAAUACUAAUAAAAGGUAUGCGCUUUCUUUUAACGCAUGUAUCAUAUGGGUGACCAUGUGCCGAAUUUAUUUUUCUUAAUAUUUCCAUAAUGUGGGAUCAGAACUUAUAGCUAGCGCUCUUGGAUUUCAUCAAACUCCUGACUUUCUUGUACCAUGGAAGGAAUCCUAGCUGUAAACCAAAAUCACACAUUAGGGUUCAAGAAAAUUAGGUUCAUAGUCCCCCAAAGUCCAAGACUAGAUAAAGCAUAGUGGAACUUAAGACAGUAAUGAUGAUCACAAGUAACCAUAGUCACUUCUGCCAAUCUUACAACUUUUUCACCUCACCUGGACAACACCAUUGGGCUUCAUUUAUCAGUCAAAUUACCUUGAAUCUUCACCAACUCUGAUUUCAAAUUGCAACAUUUAAACGUUCUCAUUUCUAUGAAAACAUCAGGCACAUUAUUUCCAUAACACUAGAGGUACUCAUGCAUGCUUGUUUUUGGCACAAGAGAACCAGGCAUCCAAGCUUAGUUGUUAGGAUCAUGCCACCCUAUUUGAAAUUGUUCAUGAUCCAAGUAAGCUAAAAUCUAUCUUUGUCGGCCAUUAGUUGAGUCACAUAGUCACAUAUUUAUGUAUAUUCCAGAAACCCAUGAUAGAAGUUAUGUAGUUGGAUUUCAACAAUUAUGAUAAUUUAGAUCCUCACUUCUUGUUAGUAAUGCCAUCCAUGCAGAUAGGUGAUUAGAUUGCGAUUACUUAGAGUGGAUGAGUUUUCCCUUCAUGCUUACGAGGUUCCUUCAAACAGGCCUAGCUGAUAUGGUGAAGUGCGCUUAAUGUUUGGUUGUAACUUACCUGUGCCUUAAUCACACAUCAAUGUCCAUCAUAUGAUGCGAAUUUAUGCAAGAACCACAUAAAUGCGGGUAUGGAGUCAAUUAAGCGGAAUUGAUUGCGAAGAAGGAUUGAGAGAGAAAUUAGAUAGAGAACUCAGGAGAAGCCAAAGCCUUAGAAUAUACAGACUUUCAAGUAGUAUAGAAAUUGAACAGCCUGCCAAUAUAUACCUUAUCACAGGCUCAGAUAUCUUAGCAAUGUGAGGAUGAUGAGCAUUAUCAAAGAGAAAUUAAUUAUUCAUGUUUUCUGAGUGUUAGGGUAUUGAAGAUUCUUAUUUUAUAUAUGGUUUAGUGUCUUUGUAUUAAUCCUCAAGAAAAGAUGUCUGUUUUCUAUAAUUUGGUGAUAGAUCAAGCAAGUGGGAUGUGUGCAUUGAACUGUUUUUCUAGAAUCUGCUUGAUCCUUACCUCCAAAUCUAUGCCUGGUAAAUCUUCAAUGAAGGAUACACAGGUGAUCAUGGAAGGGAUUUCCUCAGAGAGAAGAUUGUUUGAGCAAGCCUCAAGUAGCUAGUCAUCUCUAUGGUUUAGGUCCCUCAUUUUGCAAAUCUCCCUCUCAAGUCUUCAAGCUAGAUAUCCAAAACAGUAUUAUAAAUAUGCAUAUAAGCACUAGGAGACCCGAGUUUCUCAAGUAAGGAUGUUCACUUGUGCGCAUAUUGUUUGAAAUGCCAGUGAUAUGGUUGAUACUGAUUGUUACCUAACGUUGCAAUUAUGCACCCAUAAUCGGUCAACCUGUCUGCACGUGCUUACGGGCAAUAGAUAAUUCAUUGUUUUUGGUUUCAAUCAAUAUCACAAAUAGCAGCCAGACUUUGGGGUAUAAAGUCCCAUUUAUCCUUCAUCAUUUAGAGCAUUAAAUGUUCAAUAGCCAAUAUUUUGAGAUUUCGUAACUCAAUUAUAGAGCUUUAAAUGUUCAAUAGCCAAUAUUUUGAGAUUUCGUAACUCAAUUAAGCCUAGCUCAUGAUUAAUCCAACCAUACAUGAUAGUUUGGUUACAGAUUCACGCCAGCAGCCAACAUCUAUAACAAUCUGUGUCGUAUUUCUCCCUGCAGCCUGAUCCACCGGUUCAACAUUAUGGAAACAAAGUUGUGUAAUCCUAAUUAAGCAAUUUACUUGACAAAAUUUUAAGCCUCUUUCAUGUACAUGGCUGCUACCAUAAUUUUAGUUGCCAUCUGAUGUAUCAAGCCCAAUUCUACCAUAUGAUGCAAUGAAUAUUUGGAAAGCUGUACUACGAAGGAAAAUUAAAACAGCCAUUAAUGUCUUUGAAAUUAGGAAGGUUUUGAAGCAUACUCUUCACUAUCAAGGAUUGUCUCUCUGCUAAGAAGUAGACAACCAGCAUAGUUGAUUACAGUUGUAAUACUAUUUUAGAUAAGAAAAAUAAUAUUGUUUGUGCUGAUUAAUUAUCUUUGUUUGGUAAGCCAUGGUCAUGAUUUGUUAACAAUAGGUUGACAUAACUUGAAAGUUUGAAACCAGUAGUUAUUUUGGCAAGCAAUUGAUCAGAGUGUCGGCCCGUAAAGCCAAACCAACUCUGAAAUUGGGUUAGAAUAUAAAAAUAGCAAGACUAAGAUAUCUUGAAUUAACUAAUAUCACUUACCAUACACUUCUUCCUUCUCCUGUAUGGUUUGUUGACAUGUCGCUGACCUUUUUCUCUCCAUGAUCGUGAAUGCAUGGAAGAAAAGUGAAAUUAUUUUUUAUUUGAAUAACAUAAGAAUAAAAUAUAAACAUAUAUAAGAAGUGGGUACAUACUUAAAUAGGAAUCAAGAAAAAACUAUCAAGAAGGGUGCCUAGUGAUCUUGUGCUCAAUGCUCAGGCAGCAGACUAGGGGAAUGUUGAUCAUACUAGCUACGAAAGGGGCUUAAAGCUAUGAGAAUUUUUGCUUGAGAGGCUUUGAAAACUGUUUUUUUUUUUUUAGGGUUACCACUCUUGGAGAUACUGCAUACAUGACGGAAAGGUAGCAGACUAGGUGGUCCAACCUUUCUCAGCCAACAAGCACGUCAAUAAACUUGAUUUGUUUGAGAUACAUACAAUGAUACAAAAUCCAUAUUAAGAAGAAAAAUUGAAGGAAAGCUAGUCAGACGUUAGCUUCAGCUCCAUCAAAUAAGAGAAAUCGUGGGAGAAGUAGUUGAGAAUAGGUUUCUUGAUCUGAAAGAACAGGUUUUAAUUGGAGAACAGAAAAUUAGAUAUAUGUGCUACAGUCACGUUUCACAAUCAACUAAGCAACGAACCAAAUGAUGAGCCUCGUGAUGUUUUUUCCUAGUACCAAUGCCCACAUACCUAACAACCAUUCAACACCUAGCAGAAAGAUGCAGAGAGAGAGAAAGACAGAGAUCAGACCCAAAGUUUGAGAUGGGUAUAUACCAAAUAUUAACUCAGACAAUCAUAACCUUCCAAUAAGGGAAUUUUUUUCCUACCAUGCAUGGGGCAGACACUCAAUAAAUAUGGUCUGACAACAUGCAAUAUUUCUUGGCGCAUAAUGCGAAAAGCUAAUAAUUAAGAAGGUGGAAGUUACAUUCCCAACACAAAUAUAUUGUUGCUGUUCACUCUUUUCUAAAAGCCCACUCUUCGUGCUUAUCUAAACGCACACCCUAACAUAGUCUGGCUCACAUGUACAUAUACACUGUACCUAACAAUAUUUUAAAUUGUACAGUACUUUUGUCCCGCACAAAAAGUGUAGCAGAAAUUAACAUAACCUCCGGCAUACGCAGGAGAUCCUAAAAGUCCUGGGCUUUGUGAUUCGGAGAGUUAAAACUAGGAAGCUUGUAAGUGAUUACUUGCUGUAAAGCCAGAAGGAAUAUCCCUCACCAAGAAGAGGCACCGCAGAAGGAGUCCCCAACAAAAAACCAAAAUUUUGAAAUUGACUUAUUGAAGGCACAUUCUGUCAACUUGGUGACGACGGCAUAAACCAAAAAAAUCCGUGAUUGAGGCUUAUGGAGUCCAUGACAACAGCCAAACGACGACUAUUCUUGCCCACUUUUUCAUUUUUAAUCAACCCCGUUCCCAUUAUUCUAAAUCUCAUCCUUUUUUUAAUUCAAUGAUUGUGACACUCACUAACAUGAGGAAUACUUUCAGCUUUGUCCUAUCUUUGGACAUUACAUUUAAAAACGUACUUUAAGAAAACCUGCAUUAUUCUGUUUCCAAGGAAAACAAGAUGAGUUGCCCCUCUGGGUCUUCAUUCAGAUGUCAAAAAAAGUUGGAUAAAGGAGGAGGAUGGCCCUUUGAUCCACUGCCUUAUUUUAAUUAAAAUCAUCAUCUACUGGUUUGCCUACUUUAAUCAUUUUUUAUUUUAUUUUAAUUCAUCAUUAUUCUUAUUGUUUUUUGACUUAACUUAUGUAUUAGGUGUUCUUUACGGGUAAAAUGCCGACACCCUCGAAGAUAUUCAAGCCACUAAUAAUCAGAAAUUGAAAUUCUCGGAAAGGAUUUGAGAUUAUAUAAUAAUACCUUCUCAAAAAUAGGAAUAAUUUGGAUUUAUGUGAAUGAUGAGUGACUGAAAUCAAUUUUUAUAAAUGUAGUGAUAGAUUUUAAUUCAUCAUAAUAUAAAGUUAUAAACAACAUGUGAGUACCGUACAUGAGCCAUUGCCAUUGAUUAGAAAUGGGCCUGGGUAGUUGGGUUUGUGCUUGAUUUAUCUGCCCAAUUGAUUUAUGGCCCUCGGCUGACCUUUUUCUAUCUUCAGUAUACCCCUGUUGGCUCAGCCCAAAUUCCCCUUUGGCCUUUUUCGGCCUGGCCCGAUAGCGUUUCAGAAAAUAAUAAUAAUAAUUUGGUUACUUAGUAAAUGACGGCUAUACCCUCUAAUCUGGUAAACCCUACAGAGACGAGGAGAAAGCGCAGCGUGAAACCGUGAAAGGUGAACCGACGGCGAGAGGUAUGGCGCUACCGGCGUCUACAGUUACAGUUUGGUCUUCAAGAUUUCGUGUAUGAUCUCUCCUCCUUUUCCUUUCUCGAUAUAAGUUGUCUUUUAAGUAUUGUGGCACUCCACAAUUAUAUUUUUACAACAUUGUUAAGGGUUUGAAUCAUUCAUACUCUUGGUAUUGUAUAAUAAUUCACAAAUUGUGUGGUUCAGAAUUUGUAUUCUUCUCUUUGAUCUGGAGAAGGCCCUAAGCGGUAGGAUUGAAGUUAGCAUUGUUUUAUUUAUUUUUCUUUUUUUUUUUCAAGAAAAUGAAAGCUUGAACUAGCUCAAGGCUUGGGUCCGAAGAUGUAGAGUAAAUAUGCUUAUGCGUUUUUGGAGUUGGAUUGCUGGAUGGCUAAGGUGAAGCGCCUUCCUCUCUUUGGGAGGAAAAAAAGGGGAAGUUUGAAAGUGAGGUGGUUAACAGACUCACAUUCAGGUGAAAUAUGAAAUUCAAUGUUGGUUUCCAUAGUAAUCUGUUAGGUCGUUCGAGUUCAUGAUAAAGAUUUGAUACAAUGGUUAUUGGUUCUGGAUGAAGUGUAGGGUAGACAAAGUUUGAUUCAGUUCACAAAUACACUCAAACACAACAUGCUUUUCCUGGGUUUGAGUGGAGUAUAAUCGCAUUUGGGUCAAAUUUAUGUCGACUUGGAUAACCGAUUUAGUAAAUAGGUAUUUUUUGGGUCAUCCUACAAAAUACAAAUUUGAUCUGAAUUGACCCAUUUAAUAAUCAUUUUAAUUACUAAAUGCUUAGUAGAAUGCUUAGGCUUUGAUACGUCACGAACAUUACCCACUUUUAUGAAUUUCCACCCCUAAUGAAAUGUCUUACAAGUUACAAUUUUGUAUAUGCUUGCUCCUUUGUUACAUGCUUUACUUAUGGGAUGAUCAGCUUAGCUCUUCAGAACUUCAGUCGUGUACCAACUCUAAUGUUAUCCUUAUUACAAUACAUGCUAGAAGUCUAAUAAAAUAUGGAAAGUAAAAAAAAUACUAAGAGUGUUUAUUCUAGAAAUAGUUAAUGGAGUUAGUGGGCUAACCACUAUAAUGAGGGGUUAUGUGGAAAGGAUUUUUGGUCAAUUUGAAGUUCAGAUACCUUUUUGAUGAAAAAUAAUGCCUCAUAUUUAUAUUGUUCCUUGUAUGUCAUUCUGGUUUUGCUCAUUUAUCUUUGUUCAGAGGAUAUAGAUAGAUCUUGUUGAUUGAAUUCCAUGCAUUCAAUUUGAAUUUGUUUAGUUGUCCUAUCUUAUAGGUGGCGUCAGUGAUCCUUGAUAUCAUAAAUCAAAUAACUUGUCAUUUAUUUUCUUCUAUCUCUUUUGCACAACUUGUUUUUCUUUUUUGAUAAAUAAUUAAAACUAAAUAUAUAAUGAAGAACCAAAUAAAAAGGAGUGCAACCUAUUUACACAUGAAGUAUACCAAACAUGCCAAAAGAAAUGGAUGUACGAACCAAACCUAGCUAGCACAAUCUUGCACCAACUAGCUGAUUCCCAUAUGAUAAGGUUUUUAGGAGUGCACUUUUCAUAGCUAAAGCUAAAGUCAACUGCUCUAUCCCUUUAAAUAUUCUACGAUUGCUCUCUUUUCAUAUAUUCCAAAAAAGGCACGAAAGGAUCAACCUCUAGAUCUUUCUAUUAUCAACCCCAACAAAGUUUUAUGCCAAAUAGGUAACAUGUCUCUAAUAAAACGAGGAAGAACCCAAGACAUAUCAAAGAAAGUGAAAACCAAAGACGAUGGACUUGGGGUUCAAUCAUAAUGCAGGAGAAUGUGCUCAAAUGAUUCAAAGUCUUGUUUGCAGAGGCAACAUUUGAUUUACCAUAGGUCAACCCCACUUCAUAAGUUGCUCAAAUGUGAAUUUCUUCCCAGCCACCUCCCAAACAAAGAAACAAACUUUAGUUGAUGCCUUAAAUUCUAUAUCUCUUUAGUUGGACAAAGGAGAAAUUGCACAAGAUAAUCAUGCACCCUGACAUUACCUUCCUAUAUGCUUUCGAAAAUGCCCUUUUUUAUUUAUCACCUCAAGGAAAUGCUUGUUACCGGUUCACUCUCUUGCUCUUCCUCUCCCUCUCUCAUUCUUCCAUAAAAAGCCCUAUCUGCAAAAUCCCUCUCAUGCGAACACUUUUACCAACAUCAAACCCUAAUUUCCUAAUUCUCCUAUUCUCUUUCUCAGACUCAUCAGAAUAUGAAUUGCAUCUAUUUGGAUUGAACCUUCUAUUUCAUGAUUCAUUUUUCUUAUCUUUCUUUAAAAAGGAUCUUGUGUGAUAAAUAAAUUGAAAUUAUUUAUCAUUGUAUUAUUAAUUGUUAAUGUUCAAUAUUUUUUAAAAAUUCUAUACCAUAUUUUUCUAUACUCAUAUUAAUUAUGAAUAGCCAAGAAAGAAUAGUUAAUAGGUAAGAUACCAGUAGUUUAUGGUGGGACUAGAAGUUUUUCAUGAUGGGAAAAUGAGAUGAAGAGAGAUAGAGCAGGACAAUGAGAUAUUAUUAGGGUUUAAUGUUAGUGGAGGUGUUUGAAUGGGAGAAAGACAUUAUAGAUAGAGCAUUUUGUGAAAGAAUGAAAGAGGGAGAGUGAGAGGAGGAGAGGAAGUGCAUAUGAAGUCCAACACACUUUUGAAAAAGGGAAUUUUAGGAAGCAUAUUGAGAAGUAAUGUGUGAGUGCAUAAUUAUCUAAAUAUUUUCAAACUAGUAAAGAUAAAUUUAAUUUUAGACAAGUGAUUCCUGUCUUCCACUUUUUUCUAAAUGCUAGUGUGCAAACACAUUUCUCCUAAUCUAGGGUCAAUUACCCAUCAGAGCUUUGUUAAGAUGC